Non-coding RNA from Clostridium autoethanogenum DSM 10061, 30 nucleotides. The record is from Rfam. NCBI's taxonomy places the organism in Bacteria, Bacillati, Bacillota, Clostridia, Eubacteriales, Clostridiaceae.
AUUUAAAUACAUCUCAUGUUGAGGUUCAAC